Molecule: ribosomal RNA, 1572 nt
Filed under: Triticum aestivum (bread wheat)
Lineage: Eukaryota; Viridiplantae; Streptophyta; Magnoliopsida; Poales; Poaceae
Description: partial small subunit ribosomal RNA
Source: RNAcentral
AUGGCGGGGGCCGUGAUCGUGCACCACCACAACAGGUACAAGACGUACCCCGGCGAUGUCACCGGCUUCGUCUUCUACUCCUGCCUCGUCGCCUCCGUCGGCGGUUGCAUCUUCGGCUACGACAUCGGCAUGGCCGCCAGUUUGACGUCGACGGAGUCGUUCCUGCUCUUGUUCUUCCCGGACAUCUACCAGCAGCAGAAGGAUCAGGUGAUCACGAACCAGUACUGCAAGUUCGACAGCCAGGAGCUGUCCCUCUUCGGCUCCUCCCUCUUCCUGUCUGCGGCGACGGCGUCUCUCUUCGCGAGCCCCAUGGCCCGCGCCUUCGGCAGGAAGUGGACGCUCUUCUACGCCGCCGUCGCCUACGUCAUCGGCGCCUGCAUGGGCGGCAUAGCCACCACUUUCGCCAUGCUCAUCACCGGCCGCUUGCUCCUCGGCGUCGGUGUCGGCCUCUGCAUCCACGCCUCGCCUCUCUACCUCUCGGAGAUGGCGCCGGCGCAGCAGCGCGGGAUGCUCAACAUCCUCUUCCAGCUGAUGAUCACCAUCGGGAUCCUGUCGGCCAGCCUGACCAACUACUGGACGUCCAGGUUCCUGGGCGGGUGGGGCUGGCGGGUCGGGCUGGGGAUGGGCGCCGUCCCGGGGUCCGUCAUCGCGCUGGGCUCCCUCGCCAUCCCAGACACCCCCAUCUCCCUGCUGUCGCGGGGCGAGACCGAGCUCGCCCGCGCGACGCUGUCCCAGAUCAGGGGCAUCGGCCCCGACGACGUGCGGCAGGAGUUCGACGACCUCGCCGCCGCGUGCGAGGAGAGCAAGGCGGUGGCGAACCCGUGGUGGGAGCUGCUCUUCACCGGCAAGUACAAGCCGCAGCUGACGUUCGCGCUGGGCGUGCCCUUCUUCCAGCAGCUGACGGGCAUCAACGUGAUCAUGUUCUACGCGCCGGUGCUGUUCAAGACGGUGGGGUUCCGGAACGACGCGUCGCUCAUGUCGUCCGUCAUCACGGGGCUGGUGAACGUGUUCUCCACCUUCGUGGCCGUGGUGACCGCGGACAAGGUGGGGCGGCGGGCGCUGUUCCUGCAGGGCGGGACGCAGAUGAUCAUCUCGCAGAUCCUGGUGGGCACCUUCAUCGGGCUCCAGUUCGGGCUGAGCGGGACGGGGGCCAUCUCGGAGCAGUACGCCAUGUGCAUCGUGCUGUUCGUGUGCGUGUACGUGGCCGGCUUCGCAUGGUCAUGGGGGCCCAUGGGGUGGCUCAUCCCCAGCGAGGUGUACCCGCUGGCGGUGCGGUCGCAGGCGCAGAGCAUCACGGUGGCCGUCAACAUGUGCUUCACGGCCUUCAUCGGCCAGGUGUUCCUCACGCUGCUGUGCCACCUGAGGUUCGGCCUCUUUUACUUCUUCGGCGCCUGGCUGCUGCUCAUGACCAUCUUCAUCGCCGUGCUGCUGCCGGAGACCAAGUGCGUGCCGCUCGAGGAGGUGUCGCACGUCUUCAGGAAGCACUGGUUCUGGAGGAAGUACGUGGUCGACACCAGCGCCGAAGCGCGCGGGGCCGAGAUGAGGAAGAGGAUAGCGCUAGAGAUGAGCUGA